Molecule: ribosomal RNA, 253 nt
Filed under: uncultured bacterium
Lineage: Bacteria
Also listed under: 1 other name
Description: partial 16S ribosomal RNA
Rfam family: Bacterial small subunit ribosomal RNA
Source: RNAcentral
UACAGAGGGUGCGAGCGUUGUCCGGAAUCACUGGGCGUAAAGGGCGCGUAGGUGGCGCGACAAGUCAGUGGUGAAAGCUCGACGCUUAACGUCGAGUCGGCCACUGAUACUGUUGGGCUUGAGCACUGUAGAGGCUAAUGGAAUUCCGGGUGUAGCGGUGGAAUGCGUAGAGAUCCGGAAGAACACCGGUGGCGAAGGCGGUUAGCUGGGCAGUUGCUGACACUGAGGCGCGACAGCGUGGGGAGCAAACAGG